Molecule: ribosomal RNA, 405 nt
Filed under: uncultured bacterium
Lineage: Bacteria
Description: bacterial SSU rRNA
Rfam family: Bacterial small subunit ribosomal RNA
Source: RNAcentral
UAGGGAAUUUUCCACAAUGGACGAAAGUCUGAUGGAGCAACGCCGCGUGCAGGAUGAAUGCCUUAGGGUUGUAAACUGCUUUUAUAUGUGACGAAUAUGACGGUAGCAUAUGAAUAAGGAUCGGCUAACUCCGUGCCAGCAGCCGCGGUCAUACGGAGGAUCCAAGCGUUAUCCGGAAUUACUGGGCGUAAAGAGUUGCGUAGGUGGCAUAGUAAGUAGAUAGUGAAAGCGUGGGGCUCAACCUCAUAUCCAUUAUCUAAACUGCUAAGCUAGAGGGCGAGAGAGGUAACUAGAAUUCCUUGUGUAGGAGUGAAAUCCGUAGAUAUAAGGAGGAAUACCGAUGGCGUAGGCAGGUUACUGGCUCGUCCCUGACACUAAGGCACGAAAGCGUGGGUAGCAAACGGG